UUUGAUCAUGGCUCAGGAUGAACGCUGGCAGUGUGCCUUAGACAUGCAAGUCGAACGAAGCACCUUUUCUGAUUCCCUCCGGGGAUGAUGAACUGGUGACUGAGUGGCGAACGGGUGAGUAACACGUGGGUGAUCUGCCCCCAAGUGCGGCAUAACAGUGGGAAACUGCUGCUAAUUCCGCAUGUGCUCCCGCCUUUUGUGGCGUGAGUAAAGUUUUUAACGCUUGGGGAUGAGCCCGCGGCACAUCAGCUAAUUGGUAGGGUAAAGGCCUACCAAGGCGACGACGUGUAGCCGACCUGAGAGGGUGACCGGCCACAGGGGUACUGAGACACGGACCCCACUCCUACGGGAGGCAGCAGUUAGGAGUCUUCCACAAUGGGCGCAAGCCUGAUGGAGCGACACUGCAUGAGGGAUGAAGGUUUUCGGAUCGUAAACCUCUGAACUAGGGACGAUAAUGACGGUACCUAGGUAAUAGCACCGGCUAACUCCGUGCCAGCAGCCGCGGUAAUACGGAGGGUGCGAGCGUUAUCCGGAAUCACUGGGCGUAAAGGGCACGUAGGCGGUCUACUAAGUCCGAUGUUAAAGAGUGGGGCUCAACCCCAUCACGGCGUUGGAUACUGGCAGGCUUGACGACUGGAGAGGAAAGUAGAAUUACCAGUGUAGCGGUGAAAUGCGUAGAUACUGGUAGGAAUACCCAUUGCGAAGGCAG
This 709-nucleotide ribosomal RNA is filed under the name uncultured bacterium. RNAcentral describes it as "bacterial SSU rRNA". It matches the Rfam family "Bacterial small subunit ribosomal RNA", at positions 12 to 724 of the family's 1533-position model. The record is from RNAcentral.